This 1280-nucleotide ribosomal RNA is filed under the name metagenome. RNAcentral's name for it is "bacterial LSU rRNA". It matches the Rfam family "Bacterial large subunit ribosomal RNA", at positions 1013 to 2278 of the family's 2925-position model. The record is from RNAcentral.
UAGGGAAAUAACCCAGACCGCCAGCUAAGGCCCCAAAUUCAUGGCUAAGUGGUGAACGAUGUGGGAAGGCAUAGACAGCCAGGAGGUUGGCUUAGAAGCAGCCAUCCUUUAAAGAAAGCGUAAUAGCUCACUGGUCUAGUCGGCCCGCGCGGAAGAUUUAACGGGGCUCAAGCCAUGAGCCGAAGCCGCGGAUCUGCACGUAAGUGCAGGUGGUAGGGGAGCGUUCUGUACGCCUGCGAAGGUGCACUGUGAGGUGUGCUGGAGGUAUCAGAAGUGCGAAUGCUGACAUGAGUAACGUUAAUGCGGGUGAAAAACCCGCACGCCGAAAACCCAAGGUUUCCUGCUCAACGUUAAUCGGAGCAGGGUGAGCCGGUUCCUAAGACGAGGCCGAAAGGCGUAGCCGAUGGAAAACAGGUCAACAUUCCUGUGCCCGGUGUGAUUGCGAUGGGGUGACGGAGAAGGCUAGUUCAGCAGGGGUUGGUUCCCUGUUUAAGCAUGUAGGAGGAGUUGCCAGGCAAAUCCGGCAGCUCUUAACUCCGAGGUGUGAUGACGAGGCUCCACGCGAGCCGAAGUGAAUAACGCCCCGCUUCCAGGAAAAGCCUCUAAGCUUCAGAUCACAUUGGACCGUACCGUAAACCGACACUGGUGGGUGAGCAGAUAAUCUGCCAAGGCGCUUGAGAGAACUCGGGUUAAGGAACUCUGCAAAUUGAUACCGUAACUUCGGAAGAAGGUAUGCCUUCGACGGUGUAGGGAUUUACUCCCGAAGCUGUUGAAGGUCGCAGGUAAUCGGUGGCUGCGACUGUUUAUCAAAAACACAGGACUCUGCGAACACGCAAGUGGAAGUAUAGGGUCUGACGCCUGCCCGGUGCCGGAAGGUUAAUUGAUGGGGUUAGCAGCAAGGCGAAGCUCUUGAUCGAAGCCCCGGUAAACGGCGGCCGUAACUAUAACGGUCCUAAGGUAGCGAAAUUCCUUGUCGGGUAAGUUCCGACCUGCACGAAUGUCGUAACGCUGGCCACACUGUCUCGACCCGAGACUCAGUGAAGUUGAAAUCGCUGUGAAGAUGCGGCGUUCCCGCGGCAAGACGGAAAGACCCCGUGAACCUUCACUACAGCUUUACACUGAACUUUGAACCUUUCUGUGUAGGAUAGGUGGGAGGCUAUGAAACUUGGGCGCUAGCUCGAGUGGAGCCAACCUUGAAAUACCACCCUGGGAUGUUUGAAGUUCUAACCUUGGUCCGUAAUCCGGAUUGGGGACAGUGUAUGGUGGGUAGUUUGACUGAA